This 524-nucleotide long non-coding RNA is filed under the name Salvator merianae (Argentine black and white tegu). Its description in RNAcentral is "lncRNA (ENSSMRG00000009222.1)". Lineage: Eukaryota; Metazoa; Chordata; Lepidosauria; Squamata; Teiidae. The record is from RNAcentral.
AAAACGUUUCGACAAUAUGAAAGACUACGGUGUGACUUUGGGAUCAAGAAAGUGCAGCCCGAAGACUUUAGCCAAAGCUCUGAGCCCCUCAGAGACAGCGAAAGCAAGCAAGGGAACUAGACAGCGCCCAGGUUCUGCAGCCGCACAUUACCACGGCCGCCUCAAUGCCUGAGCAUUUGUUUGCCCGUCUCCCGGCCUGCAACGUGUUUGCCUCUAACUCUUUCUGCCCGGCGUCCACCUUCUCGACAGCUUCGAGGGGACUAGAGCUCCUCUGGCGACAGAAUCCGGGCAUUACAAUAACACAGGCUUCUGCCAGUCUCACGUGGCCGAGGCGUUGUUGGAUUCCCACUGCUGGGGAGUUGGCAAUAUUUGGAGGAACGCAGGCCCCUCUAUCCAUGCCCCAGAAAGCUUCAUCAUACUUUUAUCUUCCCAGAUUCCUGCACAGAAAGGAGGAAAAAGCGAUCGCGCCAGAUGGAGACGCCGGGCCCACCCUCUCGGACGGAGCCGGGGUGGUUUCUAAUUAG